AUUGAACGCUGGCGGAAUGCUUUACACAUGCAAGUCGAACGGCAGCACGGACUUCGGUCUGGUGGCGAGUGGCGAACGGGUGAGUAAUACAUCGGAACGUGCCCAGUCGUGGGGGAUAACGUAGCGAAAGCUACGCUAAUACCGCAUACGAUCUAAGGAUGAAAGCGGGGGAUCGCAAGACCUCGCGCGAUUGGAGCGGCCGAUGGCAGAUUAGGUAGUUGGUAGGGUAAAGGCCUACCAAGCCGACGAUCUGUAGCUGGUCUGAGAGGAUGAUCACCCACCCUGGGACUGAGAGACGGCCCAGACACCUACGGGAGGCAGCAGUGGGGAAUUUUGGACAAUGGGCGCAAGCCUGAUCCAGCCAUUCCGCGUGCAGGAUGAAGGCCUUCGGGUUGUAACCUGCUUUUGUACAGAACGAAAAGGCUCUGGUUAAUACCCGGGGCUCAUGACGGUACUGUAAGAAUAAGCACCGGCUAACUACGUGCCAGCCGCCGCCGUAA
This 500-nucleotide ribosomal RNA is filed under the name uncultured bacterium. Its description in RNAcentral is "partial 16S ribosomal RNA". It matches the Rfam family "Bacterial small subunit ribosomal RNA", at positions 30 to 523 of the family's 1533-position model. The record is from RNAcentral.